AUAGCGUAUAUUAAAGUUGUUGCAGUUAAAAAGCUCGUAGUUGAAUUUCGGGAUCAAUUGGUCGGUCGUGCCUCGGUACGUACUGGUCAAAUUGAUUCCUACCUUCUGACGAACCACGAUGUCAUUAAUUUGGUGUCGCGGGGAAUCAGGACUGUUACUUUGAAAAAAUUAGAGUGUUUAAAGCAGGCUCGCGCUUGAAUACAUUAGCAUGGAAUAAUGAAAUAGGACGUUUGAUUCUAUUUUGUUGGUUUCUAGGAUCGACGUAAUGAUUAAUAGGGAUAGUUGGGGGCAUUAGUAUUCAAUUGUCAGAGGUGAAAUUCUUGGAUUUAUUGAAGACUAACUACUG
This 346-nucleotide ribosomal RNA is filed under the name uncultured eukaryote. RNAcentral describes it as "SSU rRNA". It matches the Rfam family "Eukaryotic small subunit ribosomal RNA", at positions 594 to 945 of the family's 1831-position model. The record is from RNAcentral.